RNAcentral lists this ribosomal RNA (524 nucleotides) under Hepatozoon fitzsimonsi. RNAcentral's name for it is "bacterial SSU rRNA". It matches the Rfam family "Eukaryotic small subunit ribosomal RNA", at positions 352 to 866 of the family's 1831-position model. Lineage: Eukaryota; Apicomplexa; Hepatozoidae. The record is from RNAcentral.
GUGACGGUUAACGGGGGAUUAGGGUUCGAUUCCGGAGAGGGAGCCUGAGAAACGGCUACCACAUCUAAGGAAGGCAGCAGGCGCGCAAAUUACCCAAUUCUAACAGCAUAAGAGAGGUAGUGACAAGAAAUAACAGUACAAGGCAGUUAAAAUGUUUUGUAAUUGGAAUGAUAGAAAUUUAAACACUUUUUAAAGUAUCAAUUGGAGGGCAAGUCUGGUGCCAGCAGCCGCGGUAAUUCCAGCUCCAAUAGCGUAUAUUAAAAUUGUUGCAGUUAAAAAGCUCGUAGUUGAAUUUUUGCUGGAAAUAACCGGUCUGCUUUUAUUAAUAAGAGUGGUAUCUUGGUGUGUUUUUAGCAAUAAUGUCCUUUGAAAUGUUUUUUACUUUAUUGUAAGAAGCAAUAUUCAGGAUUUUUACUUUGAGAAAAUUAGAGUGUUUCAAGCAAGCUAACGUUUUGAAUACUGCAGCAUGGAAUAAUAAAAUAGGAUUUUGGUUCUACAUUAUUGGUUUUAAGAACUAAAUUAAG